Molecule: ribosomal RNA, 435 nt
Filed under: uncultured bacterium
Lineage: Bacteria
Description: partial 16S ribosomal RNA
Rfam family: Bacterial small subunit ribosomal RNA
Source: RNAcentral
AGCGAACGCUGGCGGCAGGCCUAACACAUGCAAGUCGAACGGGCAUCUUCGGAUGUCACUGGCCGACGGGUGAGUAACACGGGGGAACUUACACUUCGAUUCGGAAUCACUCAGGCUAACAUGACUUCAUACCGGAUACGCUCUUUUGGGGUAAGGUUUACUGCCGCAGGAUCGGCUCGCGUCUGAUUGGCUUGCUGGUAGGUUAACGUCCUACCAAGGCGCCAAUCCGUAGCUGGGAUGAGAGGAUGUGCAGCGACACUGAGGCUGAGACGCGGCCGGGACUCCUACGGGAUGCGGCAGAGGGGGACAUUGGACAGCGGGGGGAAGCCUGAUGGAGUCAUGACGGGUGAGUGCUGAAGGCCUUAGGGAUGUAAAGUUUAUUUGUCCGGGACGAUAAUGACGGUACCGGAAGAAUAAGCCCCGGCUAACUUCGUG